UCCCGUGUAGCUCAGUUGGUAGAGCAUGGUGUUUGCAACACCAGCGUUGUGGGUUCGAUUCCCACAGGGGAC
Molecule: transfer RNA, 72 nt
Filed under: Salmo salar (Atlantic salmon)
Lineage: Eukaryota; Metazoa; Chordata; Actinopteri; Salmoniformes; Salmonidae
Rfam family: tRNA
About the family: Transfer RNA (tRNA) molecules are approximately 80 nucleotides in length.
Source: Rfam by way of RNAcentral